Molecule: ribosomal RNA, 208 nt
Filed under: uncultured bacterium
Lineage: Bacteria
Description: partial 16S ribosomal RNA
Rfam family: Bacterial small subunit ribosomal RNA
Source: RNAcentral
CGUGUAGGCGGAUUGGUGCGUCGGCGCCUGAAAUCCCCCGGCUCAACCGGGGAACGUGGCCCGAAACGACCAGUCUGGAGGGGCGUAGGGGGAACUGGAACUUCCGGUGGAGCGGUGAUAUGCGUUGAGAUCGGAAGGAACGCCCGUGGCGAAAGCGAGUUCCUGGACGCCUGCUGACGCUGAGACGCGAAAGCCAGGGUAGCGAACA